UACAGAGGGUGCGAGCGUUUAAUCGGAAUUACUGGGCGUAAAGCGCGCGUAGGCGGCUUUGCAAGUCGGGUGUGAAAUCCCCCAGGCUUAACCUGGGGAACUGCAUUCGAGACUGCAUUGCUAGAGUAUGGGGAGAGGGGAAGUGGAAUUUCCGGUGUAGCGGUGAAAUGCGUAGAUAUCGGAAGGAACAUCAGUGGCGAAAGCGACUUCCUGGACCAAAUACUGACGCUCAUGUGCGAAAAGCGUGGGGAGCAAACAGG
This 260-nucleotide ribosomal RNA is filed under the name uncultured bacterium. RNAcentral describes it as "partial 16S ribosomal RNA". It matches the Rfam family "Bacterial small subunit ribosomal RNA", at positions 524 to 776 of the family's 1533-position model. The record is from RNAcentral.